Molecule: ribosomal RNA, 502 nt
Filed under: uncultured bacterium
Lineage: Bacteria
Description: bacterial SSU rRNA
Rfam family: Bacterial small subunit ribosomal RNA
Source: RNAcentral
AACGAACGCUGGCGGCGCGCCUAAUACAUGCAAGUCGAGCGAGAAGACGUAGCAAUACGUUUGUAAGGCGGCGAACGGGUGAGGAAUACAUGGGUAACCUACCCUCGAGUGGGGAAUAACUAGCCGAAAGGUUAGCUAAUACCGCGUACGCUCCUUGGACUUCGGUUCAGGGAGGAAAGCGAUACCGUGGGUAUCGCGCUCUUGGAUGGGCUCAUGUCCUAUCAGCUUGUUGGUGAGGUAACGGCUCACUAAGGCUUCGACGGGUAGCUGGUCUGAGAGGACGAUCAGCCACACUGGCACUGCGACACGGGCCAGACUCCUACGGGAGGCAGCAGUAAGGAAUAUUGCGCAAUGGGCGAAAGCCUGACGCAGCGACGCCGCGUGGGGGAUGAAGGUCUUCGGAUUGUAAACCCCUUUCGGGAGGGAAGAUGGAACGAGCAAUCGUUCGGACGGUACCUCCAGAAGCAGCCACGGCUAACUUCGUGCCAGCCGCCGCCGUAAU